This 824-nucleotide ribosomal RNA is filed under the name Triticum aestivum (bread wheat). Its description in RNAcentral is "partial small subunit ribosomal RNA". The record is from RNAcentral. Lineage: Eukaryota; Viridiplantae; Streptophyta; Magnoliopsida; Poales; Poaceae.
UGUCGUCUAGUUAGAGGUAGCGGCGGGCUGGCGUGCGGGCUAGGUGGGGAUGCGGGUUAGGUGCCGCCUAGGUAGAGACACGGCGCGGCUAGGUAGGGAGAUGGCGCUGGCUAGCUUUGGAAGUGGCAGCGUCUUCCGGCGGCGGGAGGUGAAGUACUCGGCCUCGCUAGCGCAACUCCUAGACAGCCGGAGUGUGCAGUCUCGGCGGCGGGAGCGUGCUCCCUAGGCCGCUGCCACGCGAAGUCCUCCUGCAGUUAGGGGGUCUAGGCUGCGACAAGGGCAACUCCCGUACGGCGGCUAGUGCAGGUCCAAGGGGGCGGCUAGCGGAGCCACGGCGGGCAGCCACGCCGCCUGGGCCGCCGUCGACUGCCCACACCUCCCUCCAACCCAUCUAGGUCACGUACGACUUGACGACUACUUGGCCGAGAUCGCGAGUUAGGGAUGGUUCCCGGUCGCACCAGAGAUCUUCUCCAAACCAGGGUCGGACCAACCACUAAGGGUCCCAACGGCCAGAAGUAGAGAGGACAGGUUACUAAGAAAAUGAUAAUGUCAACUUCCGCAGACACUAACCACACGUUCCGUCUGAACUCCCUGCUGGUUAUCUUGUAGGAACUCUUCUGCUACCGUGGGUAGUACAUUAACAAGGUACCCUAACACUGGACGUAACUCUAAAGUCACGAGACACGAAGCGGUCUGACUCUAGUUUUUCUGGGGGUAACAUAGUUAAAUGUAAGCAUUGUGAAAUAAUACAGUUAAACAACUAACAAGUAUUACUGUGACCUAUAAGAUUGUCAACGAGUCGGAGUGCAUUAUAAGGUUGUUAC